AUUGAACGCUGGCGGCAUGCCUUACACAUGCAAGUCGAACGGCAGCACGGGGGGUAACCCCUGGUGGCGAGUGGCGAACGGGUGAGUAAUAUAUCGGAACGUGUCCUGUAGCGGGGGAUAACCUAUCGAAAGAUGGACUAAUACCGCAUACGACCUACGGGUGAAAGCGGAGGACCGCAAGGCUUCGCACUAUAGGAGCGGCCGAUAUCGGAUUAGCUAGUUGGCGGGGUAACGGCCCACCAAGGCGACGAUCCGUAGCUGGUCUGAGAGGACGAUCAGCCACACUGGAACUGAGACACGGUCCAGAUUCCUACGGGAGGCAGCAGUGGGGAAUUUUGGACAAUGGGCGCAAGCCUGAUCCAGCCAUGCCGCGUGAGUGAAGAAGGCCUUCGGGUUGUAAAGCUCUUUCGGCGGGGACGAAACGGUUCGUGCUAAUACCACGGACUACUGACGGUACCCGCAGAAGAAGCACCGGCUAACUACGUG
Molecule: ribosomal RNA, 486 nt
Filed under: uncultured bacterium
Lineage: Bacteria
Description: partial 16S ribosomal RNA
Rfam family: Bacterial small subunit ribosomal RNA
Source: RNAcentral